UGUAUAGAAAUGUGCUUUUUAAAACGAUAACGGAAUUGUAUUAUAUAUAAUACAAAAAAUAUAGAAGUGAAUAUUGAUAUGGUCGCUUUUGAGCAUAAAAAAAGCAGUAUCACUACUGCCAAUUUUAUGGUGCGCCCUAGUGGACUCGAACCACCGACCCCCACCA
Molecule: antisense RNA, 166 nt
Filed under: Succinatimonas sp. CAG:777
Lineage: Bacteria; Pseudomonadati; Pseudomonadota; Gammaproteobacteria; Aeromonadales; Succinivibrionaceae
Description: Bacterial antisense RNA HPnc0260
Rfam family: Bacterial antisense RNA HPnc0260
Source: Rfam by way of RNAcentral